This 534-nucleotide ribosomal RNA is filed under the name Triticum aestivum (bread wheat). RNAcentral's name for it is "partial small subunit ribosomal RNA". Lineage: Eukaryota; Viridiplantae; Streptophyta; Magnoliopsida; Poales; Poaceae. The record is from RNAcentral.
AUGGAUUUUGUGGAAGGAUUACCUAAAUCUGAGCACAAAAACUUGAUUCUAGUUGUUGUGGACAGGUUUACUAACUAUGCUUACUUUGUAGCUAUGAAACACCCCAUAACAGUUAGAACAGUGGCUCAAGCUUUUACUGACAACAUCUUCAAGUUACAUGAACUGCCCACUGUCAUUGUGACUGACAGAGACAUGAUUUUCACCAGUAACCUUUGGCAGAGCCUGUUCAACAAGAUGGGGAUUAAACUGCACAUGAGCACAUCAUACCACCCUCAAUCUGAUGGUCAGACAGAAAGAGUAAAUCAAUGUUUGGAAAACUACUUAAGGAGCAUGGCUUUUGCUCAUCCCAGGAAGUGGCACACUUGGCUUUCUAUGGCUGAAUGGUGGUACAACACAUCAUUCGACACUUCCUUGCAAAUGACACCAUUUCAGGCUUUGUAUGCUAGACCUCCUCCCAUGAUUGUUGAACUUGUACUCCCACCAGUAGAAGGAGAUGAUCACCAAGCUCAAGUGGAAAAAGACACAAUAGCAUAG